AGAGUUUGAUCAUGGCUCAGAUUGAACGCUGGCGGCAGGCCUAACACAUGCAAGUCGAACGGUAACAGGAAUCAGCUUGCUGAUUUGCUGACGAGUGGCGGACGGGUGAGUAAUGUCUGGGAAACUGCCUGAUGGAGGGGGAUAACUACUGGAAACGGUAGCUAAUACCGCAUAAUGUCGCAAGACCAAAGAGGGGGACCUUCGGGCCUCUUGCCAUCGGAUGUGCCCAGAUGGGAUUAGCUAGUAGGUGGGGUAACGGCUCACCUAGGCGACGAUCCCUAGCUGGUCUGAGAGGAUGACCAGCCACACUGGAACUGAGACACGGUCCAGACUCCUACGGGAGGCAGCAGUGGGGAAUAUUGCACAAUGAGGGAAACCCUGAUGCAGCGACGCCGCGUGAAGGAAGAAGUAUUUCGGUAUGUAAACUUCUAUCAGCAGGGAAGAAGAUGACGGUACCUGACUAAGAAGCACCGG
Molecule: ribosomal RNA, 474 nt
Filed under: uncultured bacterium
Lineage: Bacteria
Description: bacterial SSU rRNA
Rfam family: Bacterial small subunit ribosomal RNA
Source: RNAcentral